AGUCGAGGGGUAUAGAGAGCUUGCUUUCUAGAGACCGGCGGAUGGGUGAGUAACGCGUAUGCAACCUACCUUUUACAGGGGAAUAGCCCGGAGAAAUUCGGAUUAAUGCUCCAUGGUUUAUAUGAAUGGCAUCGUUUAUAUAAUAAAGAUUUAUCGGUAAAAGAUGGGCAUGCGUAUCAUUAGCUAGUUGGUGUGGUAACGGCAUACCAAGGCUACGAUGAUUAGGGGUCCUGAGAGGGAGAUCCCCCACACUGGUACUGAGACACGGACCAGACUCCUACGGGAGGCAGCAGUGAGGAAUAUUGGUCAAUGGAGGCAACUCUGAACCAGCCAUGCCGCGUGCAGGAUGACGGUCCUAUGGAUUGUAAACUGCUUUUGUACGGGAAGAAAUGUAAUUACGAGUAAUUAUUUGACGGUACCGUAAGAAUAAGGAUCGGCUAACUCCGUGCCAGCAGCCGCGGUAAUACGGAAGGAUCCGAGCGUUAUCCGGAAUUAUUGGGUUUAAAGGGUUCGUAGGCGGUUGAGUAAGUCAGUGGUGAAAUCUUAUAGCUUAACUAUAAAAUUGCCGUUGAUACUGCUUGACUUGAAUAGUAUGGAAGUAAUUAGAAUAUGUAGUGUAGCGGUGAAAUGCUUAGAUAUUACAUGGGAAUACCAAUUGCGAAGGCAGAUUACUACGUACUUAUUGACGCUGAUGA
Molecule: ribosomal RNA, 695 nt
Filed under: bacterium 20GR
Lineage: Bacteria
Description: bacterial SSU rRNA
Rfam family: Bacterial small subunit ribosomal RNA
Source: RNAcentral